Molecule: long non-coding RNA, 381 nt
Filed under: Medicago truncatula (barrel medic)
Lineage: Eukaryota; Viridiplantae; Streptophyta; Magnoliopsida; Fabales; Fabaceae
Description: lncRNA gene20898
Source: RNAcentral
GCCCCCCUCUUGUAUAUUGAUAGACUUUUAAUAAGUGUGUUAAGAAUUAUCGAUGUAAUGAAGUAUAAAAUUGUUCUCCGCAUGAACUACUUUAUUUUCUACUCGGCAAAGACAUUAUCAACGCAUAUGCAUUAAAAUUUGUGUGUGUGUGUGGGGGUGGUCUCACAAUGCAAAUAGUUUAUUUAACAAAAUGCAAAUAGUUUAUUUAACAAUCAAAAAUUAAAUAGCAAAAUGUAAAUAAAUUUGUAAUGAUUUUCGGAGAAAAAUGAACAUGUCUUUCGAAUUUUAUAUCCGUCAAUAUGUUUGGUAAACUGCACUUAAACCCUACAAUUAUUAUUCUAGCUUCAUUAUCAUUAACAAAAUAGCUUUGAUCAAUCUCUU